RNAcentral lists this ribosomal RNA (253 nucleotides) under uncultured bacterium. RNAcentral describes it as "partial 16S ribosomal RNA". It matches the Rfam family "Bacterial small subunit ribosomal RNA", at positions 524 to 776 of the family's 1533-position model. The record is from RNAcentral.
UACAGAGGGUGCGAGCGUUAAUCGGAAUUACUGGGCGUAAAGCGCGCGUAGGCGGCUUUUCAAGUCGGAUGUGAAAUCCCCAGGCUCAACCUGGGAACUGCAUUCGAGACUGGAUUACUAGAGUAUGGGAGAGGGAAGUGGAAUUUCCGGUGUAGCGGUGAAAUGCGUAGAUAUCGGAAGGAACAUCAGUGGCGAAAGCGACUUCCUGGACCAAUACUGACGCUCAUGUGCGAAAGCGUGGGGAGCAAACAGG